CCUAUCACUAAUCUAUCACCUCAUCAUCCUCCUCCCUGCAUAUAAGCCCGCACCUAUAUCUCUGGAUUCUGGUCUACGACAUAGGACUACUCCUUGAUUCGUGCAAUCGACUUACCUGGUUUCUUCAGUGGCAGCUGGAGCCCAGAGUCAAAUCCCAACACAACCGGACGGCACGGCGCUUGACAGUACAUGGAUGUGUGUUCGUAUUGGUAUAUGUGUGCAGUAUAAUGUGUGGCCUUCAAAGCUCUUCUGACUGCUCAGAGGCAGCGAGAGAUGGAGGGCAAAAAGAGAAAGACAGAAGAAGAAAAUGAAGGAAUAAAUAGGAUGGAGGUUUUAAUUAAAGGGACCCCCUGGAGAGAGGGAACACUGCAUACCCCGACAGAUAUGACUGCUGAGGAAAGAAAGGCAGAUGGUUACAGAAAUGAAAUCUGGAAACCGGGUUAUCUUUAUUACUGGCAAGACCAUUAGUGCUGUGGAGAAGGAUCAGUAUCUCGGGUUAUGGUCAUCUGACCAUGUUAACUUCAGAAGCAACUUGUACAGUUCUCUGAUACCAAACUGCUGUAAAACCCCUCCUCACGCCAAUUAAAGCACAUUUAGACGCAGCUUUGUCCUCUUUCUUCAUGGGUUUCUAUCCUGGAUGCCUUAUUU
RNAcentral lists this long non-coding RNA (648 nucleotides) under Sinocyclocheilus anshuiensis. Its description in RNAcentral is "lncRNA (ENSSANG00000001225.1)". Lineage: Eukaryota; Metazoa; Chordata; Actinopteri; Cypriniformes; Cyprinidae. The record is from RNAcentral.